RNAcentral lists this unclassified non-coding RNA (520 nucleotides) under uncultured Glomus. Its description in RNAcentral is "SSU rRNA". It matches the Rfam family "Eukaryotic small subunit ribosomal RNA", at positions 569 to 1090 of the family's 1831-position model. Lineage: Eukaryota; Fungi; Glomeromycota; Glomeromycetes; Glomerales; Glomeraceae. The record is from RNAcentral.
AGCAGCCGCGGUAAUUCCAGCUCCAAUAGCGUAUAUUAAAGUUGUUGCAGUUAAAAAGCUCGUAGUUGAAUUUCGGGAUCAAUUAAUUGGUCGUGCCUCUGGUACGCACUGGUUUUAUUGGUUUCUCCCUUCUGACGAACCACGAUGUCAUUAAUUUGGUGUCGUGGAGAAUCAGGACUGUUACUUUGAAAAAAUUAGAGUGUUUAAAGCAGGCUAACGCUUGAAUACAUUAGCAUGGAAUAAUGAAAUAGGACGUUUGAUCCUAUUUUGUUGGUUUCUAGGAUCGACGUAAUGAUUAAUAGGGAUAGUUGGGGGCAUUAGUAUUCAAUUGUCAGAGGUGAAAUUCCUGGAUUUAUUGAAGACUAACUACUGCGAAAGCAUUUGCCAAGGAUGUUUUCAUUAAUCAAGAACGAAAGUUAGGGGAUCGAAGACGAUCAGAUACCGUCGUAGUCUUAACCAUAAACUAUGCCGACUAGGGAUCGGAUGAUGUUAAUUUUUUAAUGACUCAUUCGGCGCCUUA